RNAcentral lists this ribosomal RNA (101 nucleotides) under Escherichia coli O157:H7 str. K6687. RNAcentral describes it as "partial 23S ribosomal RNA". The stretch from base 1 to 81 matches the Rfam family "Bacterial large subunit ribosomal RNA", at positions 2845 to 2925 of the family's 2925-position model. The record is from RNAcentral. Lineage: Bacteria; Pseudomonadati; Pseudomonadota; Gammaproteobacteria; Enterobacterales; Enterobacteriaceae.
CGACGACGUUGAUAGGCCGGGUGUGUAAGCGCAGCGAUGCGUUGAGCUAACCGGUACUAAUGAACCGUGAGGCUUAACCUUACAACGCCGAAGGGGUUUUG